RNAcentral lists this ribosomal RNA (838 nucleotides) under uncultured marine bacterium. Its description in RNAcentral is "bacterial SSU rRNA". It matches the Rfam family "Bacterial small subunit ribosomal RNA", at positions 20 to 905 of the family's 1533-position model. The record is from RNAcentral.
UGGCUCAGAACGAACGCUGGCGGCAGGCGUAACACAUGCAAGUCGAGCGCGCCUUUCGGGGUGAGCGGCGGACGGGUUAGUAACGCGUGGGAAUAUGCCCUUUGGUACGGAAUAGCCUCUGGAAACGGAGAGUAAUACCGUAUGAGCCCUUCGGGGGAAAGAUUUAUCGCCAAAGGAUUAGCCCGCGUUAGAUUAGGUAGUUGGUGGGGUAAUGGCCUACCAAGCCUACGAUCUAUAGCUGGUUUUAGAGGAUGAUCAGCAACACUGGGACUGAGACACGGCCCAGACUCCUACGGGAGGCAGCAGUGGGGAAUCUUGGACAAUGGGGGCAACCCUGAUCCAGCCAUGCCGCGUGAGUGAUGAAGGCCUUAGGGUCGUAAAGCUCUUUCGCCUGUGAAGAUAAUGACGGUAGCAGGUAAAGAAACCCCGGCUAACUCCGUGCCAGCAGCCGCGGUAAUACGGAGGGGGUUAGCGUUGUUCGGAAUUACUGGGCGUAAAGCGCACGUAGGCGGAUCGGAAAGUUGGGGGUGAAAUCCCGGGGCUCAACCCCGGAACUGCCUCCAAAACUAUCGGUCUAGAGUUCGAGAGAGGUGAGUGGAAUUCCGAGUGUAGAGGUGAAAUUCGUAGAUAUUCGGAGGAACACCAGUGGCGAAGGCGGCUCACUGGCUCGAUACUGACGCUGAGGUGCGAAAGUGUGGGGAGCAAACAGGAUUAGAUACCCUGGUAGUCCACACCGUAAACGAUGAAUGCCAGUCGUCGGGUAGCAUGCUAUUCGGUGACACACCUAACGGAUUAAGCAUUCCGCCUGGGGAGUACGGUCGCAAGAUUAAAACUCAAA